GACGCCAGACUACGUCCCACGCCUUCCCCUCGACCUUGCGCAGCUGCCAGUGGCAUCCUUGCGCCGCCUAGUGGACUGUAGCGGCGGCGGGAAGCCAGGGUCGGUUUGAGCCCGUUUUGAGUUCAACGUCGAUUUCUACUUGUACCAGCCACCAAAAUUCGAGAUUCUUGGCUCAUUAGACUCGCCUCAACUUUCUGAACAAGCACCAAGAAGGCCCGGACCUGGGGAGAUCGAUUUCACGCUCGUCGGAGGCUUCGCCGUUUUCUGCAAUUUUUCCGGCCAAACCGGACUGUUUGAGGUAUUUUCGAUCACUUGCGUUCAUUUUCUGACUUCAAGCUAGUUAUGAAAGUUGCUCAAAAUGAUUAAACGAAGAGGGAAAGCUCGGCCCCAACACCAUUGGCGGUGGUCGGCGGCGGAUCUGUCCCUAACUCUGGCGGCCUUUUCCGGCCACCUCCGGGGGUCCCAAGGGCAAUUUCUGCCCAUUUUUAUGUUCUACGUGUUCAUACGAUCAUUUAGAUAUUUAGCAUGUGAAUUUUGGAGAUCGUAUGAUUAAGUUAUGAAUUUUCCAAUUUCGAUCGUUCGAUUUGUGAUCUGUGAAGAUCGGACCGUCCGUUGGACUUGUAGUUUGAUAUGAUGAUCGUAGGACUGUCCCGAUGACUUUGUGUGGUCACGGGUGAAGAUCCGACCGUUGGAUCUUCAUAUAAGUGCGUUUUUGAAUUGUACGCUAAGUUAAUUAUCGUAUUUGGUUAGGUGAUUGACGGUUUGAGUUGGCAGACGGUUGUGAACCGUAUUUUAAGCUGUUGAGAAGACGCAGCGGGA
Molecule: long non-coding RNA, 819 nt
Filed under: Rosa chinensis
Lineage: Eukaryota; Viridiplantae; Streptophyta; Magnoliopsida; Rosales; Rosaceae
Description: sRNA RchiOBHm_Chr5g0064261
Source: RNAcentral